RNAcentral lists this ribosomal RNA (522 nucleotides) under Triticum aestivum (bread wheat). RNAcentral describes it as "partial small subunit ribosomal RNA". The record is from RNAcentral. Lineage: Eukaryota; Viridiplantae; Streptophyta; Magnoliopsida; Poales; Poaceae.
AUGACGCCCAUCCCUCCCAUGACGGGGAGGGCCGAGGUGGCCUGUCCAUCCUCUCCUGCCAUAGGGCAGGAGUUGGCGGGGUCGACCAAGGAGAUGGAGGCAUACACGAUGGACUCUUCCAUUGUUGCCAAUCACCUUGUCCUACUGGGUGCGGCGCUGCAGAGUUACUGGUCCGCAGAGGCCGGUAUCAAGGAGGCCUUCAGGGGCCACUAUCAUGGUUUUGAGAUUUUGGCCUCGGUUUUGGCAUCCAAUGCGAAAGAGUUGGAGGAGCUAAACCAAAAGCCCGACCGGUCAAGAAGGAUGCGGAUCUGCUCAAGAAGCAGAUGGAGGUUGCUGAAGCUGGAAAAGCUCCGAUCCGAGCUGAAAACGGCUCGGCAAGUGGCCGAACAGCAAAGGGCCACGGCAGAGAGGGCCAACACAGAGCUGGUGAAGGAAAAGCAGGUCAGCGAGAGGCACGUGGCCCGGGUUGCCGAGGUUGAAGAAAACCUGAAAGGCUUUUGCGCACAGCGUGAUGCUCUUUAG